This 301-nucleotide ribosomal RNA is filed under the name uncultured bacterium. Its description in RNAcentral is "partial 16S ribosomal RNA". It matches the Rfam family "Bacterial small subunit ribosomal RNA", at positions 509 to 809 of the family's 1533-position model. The record is from RNAcentral.
CAGCAGCCGCGGGAAUAUAGAGGGUGCAAGCGUUAAUCGGAAUUACUGGGCGUAAAGCGCGCGUAGGUGGUUCGCCAAGUUGGAUGUGAAAUCCCCGGGCUCAACCUGGGAACUGCAUCCAAAACUGGCGAGCUAGAGUAUGGUAGAGGGUGGUGGAAUUUCCUGUGUAGCGGUGAAAUGCGUAGAUAUAGGAAGGAACAUCAGUGGCGAAGGCGACCACCUGGACUGAUACUGACACUGAGGUGCGAAAGCGUGGGGAGCAAACAGGAUUAGAUACCCCCGUAGUCCCUGUCUCUUAUAA